RNAcentral lists this long non-coding RNA (4233 nucleotides) under Fragaria vesca (wild strawberry). RNAcentral describes it as "long non-coding RNA (FVES_LNC003797)". Lineage: Eukaryota; Viridiplantae; Streptophyta; Magnoliopsida; Rosales; Rosaceae. The record is from RNAcentral.
GCGUUUCUUGUAAAUUUCAACGAGCUCUUUGGGAUCACGUCUGGUCUUAUUGAAACCUUCAUUUUUGUUCAUCUCAUACAAAAUUGAUAUAUAGUCCCAUGAGUAGUGCUUUCAGUGGAUUUGAGAUGAAUCUUUUGCAUUGCAAGUGACACAUGCUAUUGCGGGAUUCAUAUCUUUAAGAUUUAUAAUGCCAAUGCGUACAGGAAGAUCACUUAAAUAAUAUUGUACCUCAAUCCAUGCUGCUAGUUUAGGUGUCCCUGCAGUGAUGUCAUACUUCUUGACAUCCAAUGCAAAAUGCUGAAAUCUUAUCAAUGAAUGGUGCAUAAGCAAUGUCCACCUGAUAGAUAAGAACAACAUUUGAAACUAUCCAUAUGAUAGAGCAACUAAAGCCAUGAAAGAUAUUUUAUUUAGAUCAGUAGUGUUAACCAUAGCCUCUGCCCACUUUAGUUGAAUGAAGUUGUGGAAAUUCCGAGCGACUUGUCGUUAGUACGUAGCUCUCCAGAUUACCCCAACGUAUAGGCAGGGAAACUCCCUGCUGCAUGACUUUGAUCUUGUAUAUAGUUUAAGUCUUGGUCAAUCUGUAAUGUGUAGUAGAGUGCUACAGUCCAAUUCCACAAACCCAAUAAAUUAAGCUCCGGUCUCUGUACGUAAUUGAGUAAUUAAGUCUAGCUAGUCUCUGUAUUCUGUAAAGUUGGAAACGAUCACGUCAAGAAACUCCAUUAAUUAAAAGCAUAUAGACUUUGGUACUGUGAAUCUGGAAUGCGCUGGUCUUUUCUGAUCUCUCUCCAUGGGAACAACUGGGAUUAGGAGCCUGUCCCUGCAGUGUGCUUGGGUUUCAAUUGUAACCUUUUUGGUUCUUGGCUCAUCUGGUCAUAAAGAUAAGUGUGUCCCUUCUUCUUGCGGCGACAUCCACAACAUAAGCUACCCAUUUCGACUACAGCAUGAUCCAGAGCACUGUGGCGACUUAAACCACACUUUGGAAUGUGACCACAACAACAUCACAGUGCUGCGCCUAUUUUCUCAAGAGUACUACGUCAAGGUCAUUGACUACAACUACGACAACAGCACAAUCCGUGUGGUGGAUCCUGGCCUUGAGAAGAACAACUGCUCUUCCCUUCCUCGUUUUCCUCUGGGCCUAUCGAGCUUCAGACCUUAUUAUCAUAGAUACCCUUCUUGGCAACCAUACGCAGAUCCAGUAAUUUUCUUGAAAUGUGCAAAUCCAGUGAAUUCUUCUUUGUAUGUGAGCACGGCUCCCUGUAUUAACUCCGAAAUGUAUGGUUAUGCCGUUCGAGGCAGAAUCUACCCCGAAGAUGUGGAGAAUGGGUGCACUGUAUAUUGGAUGGGUCUGACCACUUGGAUGCCCUUCGAGGAGGACGGAAACGUUUCCUAUCAAGAUAUACACGAUCAAAUGGUGUACGGCUUCGAGCUUGUGUAUGCUGACUAUUGCCACGGUCAAUGGAAUAUGCCUUUUCACGGCUCACCUUUUCACAGUUCAACAUGUUAUCCGCGCAGCAUACGAGGUAUAUACUGUCGAUCGAGUACGCCAUGAUUUCUCUAUUUUGAUUUUACGAAUAACUGUGCUAAUUAGUUAUGUACAUUCUUUGUCAUGCACUCUAGGUUUCUUUCUUAUUGGUUGGGCGGCGUUCACCGGUAAGUGUCAUUUCUCUCAACGUACUUUCUAUACAUCCACUAAUUUAUUGUCAACGAGAUCGAUGGUUGUCUCUCAUAUUACAUAUAUGGCCUUGCACUUUCAAGACUUAAUAUACAGGCCAAGCACCUAAUUAAUUAUGUAGAAUUUGUGCUGCAAUUAAACCCAGCUCCUUCAAAUCUUUUGCAGCUUAUUGGGAUAUCGAGAGUAUUAUCGCUGGCAGUGUUGUAGGGGGAAAAAUUAUAUUUGGAGGUCCAUUUGUGAUCGCACUUCUGAUAUAUAAGUGGCGAAGAAGGCAUUGGUCAACCUACAGCACAAUAGAAGACUUUCUGCAUUCUGACAAUUUCAUGCCUAUAAGGUACUCCUACUCCAACAUUAAGAAAAUGUCAGCUGGAUUCAAAGAUAAGUUAGGCGUAGGGGGUUAUGGUUCUGUAUUUAAAUGCAAAUUACGGAGUGGCCACUUUGGAGCCAUUAAGUUGUUAGACAAGUCUAACGCUAAUGGGGAAGAUUUCAUGAGUGAAGUAGCUACUAUUGGAAGGAUUCACCAUGUCAAUGUGGUGCAGCUUGUUGGUUACUGUGUCGAGGGUUCAAAGCGCGCCUUAGUAUAUGAUUUCAUGCCAAAUGGUUCUCUUGAUAGAUACAUUUACUCCAAAGAAGAAUCCAUCACUUUAAGUUACAAGAAAAUGUAUGAGAUUGCAGUUGGAGUCGCUCAAGGUAUUGAAUAUUUGCAUCAAGGUUGUGAAAUGCAAAUUUUGCAUUUUGAUAUCAAGCCUCAUAAUAUCCUACUUGAUGAGAAUUUUGUCCCAAAGAUUUCUGACUUUGGGCUAGCGAAACUAUAUCCAGCAAACAAUAGCAUUGUCUCAUCAAUGGCAGCAAGAGGCACCAUGGGAUACAUUGCUCCUGAGUUGUUUUAUAAAAACAUUGGUGGUGUUUCGUACAAAGCUGAUGUUUAUAGUUUUGGAAUGUUGUUGAUGGAAAUGGCAAGCAGAAGGAAAAAUCUUAAUGCAUAUGUAGAUCACUCUAGCCAAAUUUACUUCCCCUCAUGGGUGCAUGAUCAAUAUAAUGAGGGGAAGGACUUGGAGAUUGGGGAUGCUACAGCAGAGGAGAAGAAAUUAAUUAGAAAAAUGAUAGUAGUUGCCUUGUGGUGUAUUCAAAUGAAACCAAGUGAUCGACCUUCAAUGAAGAGAGUUACACAGAUGCUCGUAGGAGAUGUUGAGAACCUAGAAAUGCCACCAAAGCCUUCUCUAUGCCCACAACCGACGCCUGUAAGCAAUCUGAUUCCAACAUGUUCAAAUGUGGAGCAAACAUGUACUCUUUCUGCUAGGUGAUGAUAGCUGGCUACCAUUCAUUCACUCUACUUCGUGUAGCUUAUGAAAUUUCAGAUUGUCUUAGAAUUGUAGAUUAUUGUAGUUUUAAAGAUGAACUGCCAAGAAAGUUGAAAUAUUGUACUCCGUCAUUACUUUGCUGCCUCAUGGUUUAUGUAUAAAUGUGCCUUGUAACUUUCAUAUUUACUUUCCAUACCCUAUGGUUUCUGAAGAAGUAUUUCUUUACAGAUUUCUCAACCUAAUAGUUUCAAAGCUCAAAGCCUCCAAACAAAGGCCUAAUUUGGAUUUGUUUACGGUCUUACAGAUAAAUAGACUGAAAAUUAAAGAUUGUUCCACAAAACUUAUUUAAGUUUAUAUCGAUGAAAAAGGCUUAUUUAGACCUUCUUACAUUAUUGGUAGAAUGAAAAUGUUACGAGGAAUGAGUGAGGGGGGUUUAGACUUUUGGAAAGAUGAUUUCAACAAUGGAACUUCUGAUUCUGAUAUACAAAUAAUAAGCUGCAGAUACAAGGUAUCAGUCCUCGGCAAUGUCUGGCUAUAUGACAUGGUUCACCAUAUUCCCAGAAGCAUUAUUAGUGCUUUACAGCGGCAUACAAAGAUACGAGAAAUGGAAGCCAAAUUUGGAACAUCAAGCAACCCUUCCAACUUGUUUCUGCACAUUCAGGGCUGAGGCUGCAUAAUCAAUGCAUUUAAGACUUAAGUACAAGUAUUGGCAGCAACUUAUUUAGAACUCACUCUUAAGAUGAAGCAAGAAGAAACUAACCGAAAAGCGUUUCUUGUAGAUUUCAACGAGCUCUUUGGGAUCACGUCUGGUCUUAUUGAAACCUUCAUUUUUGUUCAUCUCCUACAAAAUUGAUAUAUCCAUGAGUAGUGCUUUCAGGGGAUUUGAGAUGAAUCUUUUGCAUUGCAAGUGACGCAUACUAUUGCAGGAUUCAUAUCUUUAAGAUUUAGAAUGCCAAUGCGUACAGGAAGAUCACUUAAAUCAUAUUGUACCUCAAUCCAUGCUGCUAGUUUAGGUCUCCCUGCAGUGAUGUCAUACUUCUUGACAUCCAAUGCAAAAUGCUGAAAUCUAUCAAUGAAUGGUGCAUAAGCAAUGUCCACCUGAAAGAUAAGAUCAACAUUUGAAACUUUCCAUAUGAUAGAGCGACUUUUGAUAAGUUCAGUAGACAGGUUUUCAUUGCCUAUACGGCGCAAGACAUAUGGGAACUGAAACGGUUAUUACUAGAAAGCAUAUUACCAGACUGAAUUGGCCAAGAAAGAAAG